AUUGAACGCUGGCGGCAUGCCUUACACAUGCAAGUCGAACGGCAGCACGGGGGCAACCCUGGUGGCGAGUGGCGAACGGGUGAGUAAUGCAUCGGAACGUGCCCAGUAGUGGGGGAUAACUAGUCGAAAGAUUAGCUAAUACCGCAUACGACCUAUGGGUGAAAGGCGGGGGAUUCGCAAGAACCUCGCGCUAUCGGAGCGGCCGAUGUCUGAUUUAGCGUAGUUGGCGGGGUAAAGGCCCACCAAGGCUUCGAUCAGUAGCUGGUCUGAGAGGACGACCAGCCACACUGGGACUGAGACACGGGCCCAGACUCCUACGGGAGGCAGCAGUGGGGAAUUUUGGGACAA
This 348-nucleotide ribosomal RNA is filed under the name uncultured bacterium. RNAcentral's name for it is "bacterial SSU rRNA". It matches the Rfam family "Bacterial small subunit ribosomal RNA", at positions 30 to 371 of the family's 1533-position model. The record is from RNAcentral.